Bombyx mori (domestic silkworm) is the source of this 3574-nucleotide long non-coding RNA. RefSeq lists it as uncharacterized. The record is from RefSeq and is a predicted model, not a curated record. NCBI's taxonomy places the organism in Eukaryota, Metazoa, Arthropoda, Insecta, Lepidoptera, Bombycidae. The transcript has 2 exons.
UUGCGAGCAGUGGGCAACCCGCCCCCUCACCCGUCGCCACCUAAGGCGCGGCCACAGAAUACUAUUACUUCUAGCGGGCGCGGCCAACUAGUUCCGCGCGCACUUUAAUUUAUGUACUUAAAACUUAAAAAUAAUAUAUUCGGAAUUUAAUACAAUUACCAUCUCUUAGUGCAUAUAAUUAUCUUCCUUUUCUUUCUCAGUGGUUAAUAUUAUACUAUACUGUAUACUAUCAAAACAUUGUGUUUAUAAAAUAGUGUGAUUAACUUAUUUAAUUCUGAGUGAAAUUUUCUCGCUAAUGUGGUAUUAAAUAACAAUUACAAGCUAACCAUUAUGAGCCCGAAAUAGCCUGAAUAAAUUUGAUGUUUCUCGCUCUGCCGGCUUCGAUAUAUUUGUGUGAAAGUGAAAUAGGAUAGCAGAAAAAAAAAUUAAUGAUGUCUGAUAAUUACUAAUAUGAUCUAUUCAUUGACGCAAUGUCAUAAUGUACACAACCUUAUCAUUUUCUUGAUAGUGUGUGUGUUAUAUUUUCAUAGGACGACAUUAUACAUCUUGUGUUUUUUACUGAAGGUGUUUUUUUAUUAUUAUGUUAGUUUACGUGUUAAAAAAAUCUUACUUUUCACUACCUAUUAAAAUGUUUGAGAUCUUAAGAGGUUUUGUAAAUCGGUAAAUGAUUUAAUCAAUUUUAAAGUUUUUUAGUAUUUUGUUUUGAAGUUUUCUUAAUAACGACAAUUUUCAUUAUGUUUUUAAAAUGAAAUGCCGCGAUUGGAUUGUUUUAUUCUGGCACAUGAUAGCGUCUCAAAUUCUCAAUUACAUUUUCUCAUGCUAAGACUCGAAAUGUCAAAAAAAUAUCAAACCAUUGAGCUUCAUGCGAGAAUUCACUAAUGCCUGCGAGUAAUAAGAAUCUAAAUUAGGUACUCAUAUUAACCGCCAGUUGAACAUUGCUACGUAAAAUAAAUAAAUGAUUAUUAUAGUAUCAAAAUCGUCAAGCCAAAGUUUUCAUGGUGCUCCAAAAAACAAAGUUGCAUGAUUUUUACAUUGAAUUAUAUUACUAUAGUAGAAUUAUUUUGUCCGUGCAGUUUGGGUCAUAAAACAUAGCCCGGCUAGGGCGGUGAGCGCGCGUGGUGCUGCGCGGGCGCAACGCCAUUAUCGAUAAAAACAAAGGCAGAUACACGGCGUCGGGGUGGUAUACGAAAGGUGGUGAGACAUUGUUUUGUUAAGAGUCAUUUGUGCCUACCUACCAUUUGUGCUUACCUGCAAAUUAUAUUACAUUAUGUCGAAGAUAAAUGUGUUUUUAUGCAUUCGUUUUCUGAAUUUCUUUAAUAACCCAACAGCUACUCCUUUACUUUGUAUCAAAACGGCAGAAUUUAUUCAAAAUAAUAGUUACACGUGUUGUUAUCAACAAUAUGUUAAAAAUUUUCACUGAAAUAAGAAUAGAUCCCGAAAAGUUCUCGUUAAAUUGCUGCGGCGAUAUGUGGUGUAAGUGUUUGAUUAGUAAUUUUUUCUUUUAUUUCUAUCACUAAACCACAAAAUGACAAAACUAAAUAUGCUAUCGAUGACGCUUAUCGACAACAAUAAUGCGCAUCACUAUGCCCGUCCAUAAGGCUCGUGAGUGGAAGAGAGAGCGAAAUAUUCGCUUCACCGCUCCGAUUUUUUAUGACCCAAACUGCACAGACAAAAUAAUUCUACUAUAGCGUACUGUAAAUGAGUCGACUAUUAUCAAAGGCGGCAAUCUGCCUUUUGGACAAUGAUUGGUAAAUCAGAAAAACGAAUUAUUGACUUUGUAUUCCAUUGGCAGUCACAAAACUCUUCGGAACGACAUCUUAGAUAAAUAACAGGUUAACUAUUAACCUUUAUUUAAUGCAGGUUUUGAACCGUAUUCUUUGAAGGAGACGAUUAUAUUCAAAUAAAUCUGUAUUGACAUAUCAAUAAAAAUGUUUUGUCCAAAUGCACAGAUUGCCACCUUUGAUAAUAGACGACUCAAAUAUUUGAAGCUGAUUUUAACAGGGGACAGCAUUGUUGAUCAAUUUAAUGCUUAUUCAAAACUUGUCAAACCCUCUUUGUUGACCGGUGUUUGAUUUGAGUUUGAACGCCACCAAACGUCACAAUGUCACUCGCUAUACCAGCUGCGGACAUCUUGAAAAUAUUCAACAAAUUCGGUCGCACAGCAAAAUCCCUAUCUCCUCCAAGCCUGCCGUAAGGAACAUAGUUCCAAUAUAAAAUUCGAUGUGUGUUGUGUGAUCCCUACAGACUCCGAAGUGAGUGGACCCAUCUUAAUGAAAGUGUAGGGAAUCUUCAGAUAGACCCAAAAGUAAAGUUAAGUGGCGAGCAAACAAAAACCGGCCAGCUUUGACUGUGAUUUAAUAUUUAUUGACUAGAUUAGCUAAAAGUAAAUAACGCAUUUUUUGUUUCAUUUAUUUAUUUAUACUUUUAAGAUACAAAAUAAGAGCAUAUGCAUACAUUUCUAACAAUUUUAUUAAUAGUUACAAUUGUGUACUACAUACAACUGCAAAAAAAAACAAUAACAAUAAGUGUCUUUCGAUUAGAUAUACUUUAAUAAGAACAAAAUAAUUAAGAACUUAUGAAAUUAUAUUUUCAAGAAAAAAAAAAUAGUGCUCGACUUAAAAAAACCCAGGUAAAACUACACAGAGGCAAAGGGUCGUAAGUGCAUAAGUAGACGUAACUUUUUUGCUAGCAGGACUCAAUUUACUAAAAAAAUAAUAGGUCUCUAAGAAAACAAUCAAACAAGAAACACGAUGAAGUACAUAAUAAUCUAUUUCGUAAAUUACAAGACGUAUAGAUAAAUUUUAAUGAUAUAUUAUGUGAGUUAAGCCCUUUCUGCUUAACUACGUCCAAACUAUUCUAGACUAUUCUAGAAGUUAUCCUAAACAAAUGACUAUCACCUAAAAUAUAACUGAUGUUGUUUAUAUAAAAUAAAAAGAGUGUAACACAUUCGUGGUCUCAUUCACAGCGAGUUAUUGGAGCUUUAUAUAGUUAUAGUAUUCUUAAAAUGCUUUUGAUAUAGCUCUCAUAACUUUAUACUAAUAAGAGUGUAAUUAUCAUGAUGGCGCAAAUAAAAAAAAAACAUUUUUUAAUUGCGUUUGAAAUGUUUGUCGGGAAACAUUUUUGUUCAUAAUUAAAUUUACAUAUUCAUAACAUUAGUUUAUGUACAAGUCUAUAGUUUUCAUGAAAUAUAAGGAUAUACUUUCUAAUAGUACAUUGAACCCAAACAAUUAACAAGAUUAAAAUGUUUUACGUAAUUACUCAAAAUCAUAAGCGGCCUUGGAAAUGUCUCUUUUAGCCAUCUGAAUUUUGAAAAAUAGGCUUUUUAUUAAUUCUUCAUAAAAAAAAACCGUUUCUCUAUGCUCUAUUUCUUUGGAUCUUUAUUUAGACAGUAUUUUAGGUUAGUGAUUAAAAGUAGACAAUCAUACUCGCGUAACUGUAAUAUUAUAACCUGUUUUUUUUUCAACAAUUGCGAUUUUUUUCCCGAUCGCUUAAUGUAUUUGAAUAAGUAUGUGCACAAUAUAAUGAUUACAAAUUACCACUACUAAACUAUUAAAAUAAUAACAUUUCAUUUCAA